Long non-coding RNA from Humulus lupulus (European hop), 1085 nucleotides. RefSeq lists it as uncharacterized. NCBI's taxonomy places the organism in Eukaryota, Viridiplantae, Streptophyta, Magnoliopsida, Rosales, Cannabaceae. The transcript has 3 exons. The record is from RefSeq and is a predicted model, not a curated record.
CAAAUUUGUUAAAAUUCCAUUUAGAUAGAUAACCAUGUAGAGUAUUUGUGGAAUACAGAAGUAAUAUUCGGUCAUUAAUAACUCUACAUGAUACCUUUGAAUAUAACUAAUAAAGGUAAUAUAUAUAUAUAUGGUUAUUAACUCUCAUGCAUGUUUUGCUCAAGCAAAAAGAAAAAAAAAAAAAAGAAAAACAAGAGGAAAUUGAGUUUGAUGAAGCAAAACAAAAGAGCUGAAAAAUGAGUAGCAGAUCCCUCUAUUAAUCAUAGACCAAUAAGGACUCUACUCCUAGCAAAACCUCAAGGACUGGCACUGUUUUUGUAGCCUGAUCUGAUCUUUAUUACAAACUUUGUAGACUUUUCUUUAGAGUUUGUUUAUAAAAUUAAGGUUGCCGGUGUCCUUGCUUUUGCUAUAAUUUUACUGAAGUCUUCAAAAUGAACUGGAGAUGCCUGAAUCAUGAUGUAUAUCAUCUAAUUGGUUAGUUAAAGUUGAAAUAAGUGUUUCUGGCCACUUGAAUCUUAUUGUUGCUAUCUCAGAUGCUGAACAGAGAGAAGUAGAUACAUGGCACUUCAUGUAAACAGCCCCUUGGAAAGGUUUAAUUCCCAGUGCUGAUGGGCAAGUAUUACAUUCUCAAGAUGGUGGAGAUAGUCCAAUUCUCAGUCUCUUUAAAUUAGUCACUGCUGCAAUAUUAUCUAAGCCAGGGAAAUCAAAUCCUUGUUUCCUGCCGAUUGCAGUCCAUUCUAAGCUGGUUUUGGAAAUAGAGAUACAGAUGAAGUUAGCUACCUUAAGGUCAGAAUUCCACUAGGAAAAAAUUACUAUGCUUGAAAAUGAGCGAAGUCAGAACUGAAAGAGCUUCUUCAGAGCUUUGGAAGGCAGCAAGAGCAGCUGAUUAUAGUAUUGGGAGUAAGUUGCUGAUACCUAAACCCCUCCUCUCACUUUUUGGAAACUUGACAGAACGAACUGGGUAGAAUGAUUUCUUUGGAGCAAUUCUUGACAACAUUUGUAGUUGAGGCCUUUAGAAUGGAAGAAUGUAUUUCACUAAUUUUUGUAUACAUUUCUUGUUUUGUAUUUAGUGAUAAAGGAAUCUG